Tupaia belangeri chinensis (Chinese tree shrew) is the source of this 1487-nucleotide non-coding RNA. The record is from the annotation of a RefSeq genome assembly. Lineage: Eukaryota; Metazoa; Chordata; Mammalia; Scandentia; Tupaiidae.
AAAGAUAGAGGUCAGUCACCCCUCCCCACUGGGACCCUAUUCCUCCCCCCCUUCCUGGGGCUUCUCCAGUGCAUUCUGCUGUGUUUGCUGUGGCCUCACUCCAGUAGAGCUGGCUCCUUGCUGUGUCUUCAGGGCUUUGUGUUUUCUCCAUCCUUUUUUCAUUGUUUUCUGAGAUUCCUCUCAAAUCUACUGUCUUAGUGGGUAUGUUGUUUUACUUUCCCUUUUAAAGCUCUAUCUUCUCCAUUUUCCCUUCACAUUCUCACUCUAAUUCUGCAUAAUUGACUAUUUUGGUGAAUAUUUCUGUCUUCUGUGUUAAAAUCCUUGCCAACAACUACCUCCAGACAGUGUUCUGCUCUAGUCUUCAUCUUCUUUCUGUCUCUGCUAGUCUCUGAAGACCCACAUUUGUUUUUUCCUGGGGUGUUGGGGACCAGGUUGGUGAUGCCAGUUGGUUUGAGGGUGGCUCCCAAGGCCAAAGGGCAGAAGACCAUGGCAUGGUACUGUGGGAGCUGCAGGGAGGCUCUGGGGUGCACUGUGGUUGGUGGGUGUCAGAGGAAAGGUUGAACAAACUGUCAAAGGUGGAAAUGUAUAUGAUCUUAGCCGCAGAUAGGUGUAAAAAAGAGAAAACAGGCCAGAGACCCCAUUUUCUCAAACCUCAGAAUCUGUGCUGGGAUAGUAGAGUAAAGAGCACAUCUGAAAAAUACCCUAACACAUCUAUCACCACCCUUGGGAGGAGGCAGACAGAGGACCUGAGCAAGGUGACCCCACCCACGGUCACCGUGUUUGAGCCAUCCGAAGCAGAGAUCAACCGCACCAGCAAGGCCACACUGGUGUGCCUGGCCACGGGCUUCUACCCCGACCACGUGGAGCUGAGCUGGUGGGUGAACAGGAAGGAGGUGCACAGUGGGGUCAGCACGGACCCUCAGCCCUACAGCGAGAAGCCCGACAACUCCAGCUACUUCCUGAGCAGCCGCCUGAGGGUCUCGGCUGCCUUCUGGCACAACCCCCGCAACCACUUCCGCUGCCAGGUCCAGUUCUUUGGGCUCACAAAGGAAGACAACUGGACCCUGACCAGGCCCAAACCCAUCACCCAGAACAUCAGUGCUUCGGCCUGGGGCAGAGCAGACUGUGGCCUCACCUCAGCAUCCUACCAGCAAGGGGUCCUGUCUGCCACCAUCCUGUAUGAGAUCCUGCUGGGAAAGGCCACCCUGUAUGCUGUGCUGGUCAGCACCCUUGUGCUGAUGGCCAUGGUCAAGAGGAAGGAUUCCUGAAGUCAGCUCGAGAUGGAUCCAGGAGCGUCUGACCCAUAGUGGGAUUAACAUGGACUCUCGUUUUGCUAAUGCUUCUAUGCUAUUCUCAUCUCUCUACUCAUCCCCAAAUCUACCCCAUGUGCACACAUACCUGCAUAAUCAGACCCCAAUCUUCCUAAGCUAAGAGGAUCCUGGCACAUUUAUGUCACUGAACCAAUAAAAAUGUCUUGGUUUGCUUGA